Molecule: ribosomal RNA, 906 nt
Filed under: uncultured bacterium
Lineage: Bacteria
Description: bacterial SSU rRNA
Rfam family: Bacterial small subunit ribosomal RNA
Source: RNAcentral
AGCAAUGCCCCUAGAGCGGCGGACUGGUGAGUAACGCGUGGGUGAUCUACCUUGGGCUUGGGGAUAGCCAUUAGAAAUAGUGGGUAAUACCGGAUACGUUCGUUGCCGUGAGGGUANCNNNNAAAGGUGCUACGGCNNNNNCNNNGAGAUGAGCCUGCGUCCCAUUAGCUAGUUGGUGAGGUAACGGCCACCAAGGCGAUGAUGGGUAGCCGGCCUGAGAGGGUGUACGGCCACACUGGGACUGAGAUACGGCCCAGACUCCUACGGGAGGCAGCAGCUAAGAAUACUCCGCAAUGGACGAAAGUCUGACGGAGCGACGCCGCGUGGAUGAUGAAGGCCGAAAGGUUGUAAAGUCCUUUUGCUGGGGAAGAAUAAGCGUGGGAGGGAAUGCCCGCGUGAUGACAUGAACCGGCGAAUAAGCCCCGGCUAACUCCGUGCCAGCAGCCGCGGUAAUACGGAGGAUGCAAGCGUUAUCCGGAUUCAUUAGGUAUAAAGGGUGCGUAGGCGGAUUAAUAAGUCAGUGGUGAAAUACUACAGCUCAACUGUAGAACUGCCAUUGAUACUGUUAGUCUUGAGUACAAUUGAGGUAGGCGGAAUGUGUGGUGUAGCGGUGAAAUGCUUAGAUAUCACACAGAACACCGAUUGCGAAGGCAGCUUACUAAACUGUAACUGACGCUGAUGCACGAAAGCAUGGGGAGCAAACAGGAUUAGAUACCCUGGUAGUCCAUGCUGUAAACGAUGAUCACUCGCUGUAUGUCCAUUAGGAUAUGUGGCUGAGCUAACGCAUUAAGUGAUCCACCUGGGGAGUACGGCGGCAACGCUGAAACUCAAAGGAAUUGACGGGGGCCCGCACAAGCGGAGGAACAUGUGGUUUAAUNNGAUGAUACGCGAGGAACCUUACCCGGG